AAUCCAAUCAAGCCUGGCUUGGUAUUGGGCGCCGGGGACCCCCCGCGCCCCAAUUUCACCGGCUGGCCGUCGCCCGUCUUAGCGUUGUGACACACUUCUCGCUAGCGAUUGGGCCGGAUCACGCCGUUAGAACCCCCGAAAUUUCAGUCGAAAUUUGAUCAA
RNAcentral lists this unclassified non-coding RNA (162 nucleotides) under uncultured Capnodiales. RNAcentral describes it as "sequence contains ITS2". The record is from RNAcentral. Lineage: Eukaryota; Fungi; Ascomycota; Dothideomycetes; Capnodiales.